This 463-nucleotide ribosomal RNA is filed under the name uncultured bacterium. RNAcentral describes it as "bacterial SSU rRNA". It matches the Rfam family "Bacterial small subunit ribosomal RNA", at positions 29 to 506 of the family's 1533-position model. The record is from RNAcentral.
AUGAACGCUGGCGGCGUGUUUAAGGCAUGCAAGUCGUACGAAGUUUUGUAGCAAUACAAAAUUCAGUGGCAAACGGGUGAGUAACACACUGGUAACCUACCUUCAAGACAGGGAUAGCUCUCCGAAAGGAGAAUUAAUACCUGAUGGACAUGCGGGGACAUAAGUCAUUCGCAUGUAAAGCCGCAAGGCGCUUGGAGAGGGGCCUAUGUCUGAUUAGCUAGUUGGUGAGGUAAUGGCCCACCAAGGCUUCGAUCAGUAGCAGGCGUGAGAGCGUGACCUGCCUCACUGGGACUGAGACACUGCCCAGACUCCUACGGGAGGCUGCAGUCAAGAAUCUUCCACAAUGGGCGAAAGCCUGAUGGAGCGACGCCGCGUGCAGGAUGAAGGCCUUCGGGUCGUAAACUGCUUUUAUAGGGGACGAAUUAGUGACGGUACCCUAAGAAUAAGAGGUUGCUAACUCUGU